UGGGGAAUAUUGCACAAUGGGCGCAAGCCUGAUGCAGCCAUGCCGCGUGUAUGAAGAAGGCCUUCGGGUUGUAAAGUACUUUCAGCGGGGAGGAAGGCGAUAAGGUUAAUAACCUUGUCGAUUGACGUUACCCGCAGAAGAAGCACCGGCUAACUCCGUGCCAGCAGCCGCGGUAAUACGGAGGGGGCAAGCGUUAAUCGGAAUUACUGGGCGUAAAGCGCACGCAGGCGGUCUGUCAAGUCGGAUGUGAAAUCCCCGGGCUCAACCUGGGAACUGCAUUCGAAACUGGCAGGCUAGAGUCUUGUAGAGGGGGGUAGAAUUCCAGGUGUAGCGGUGAAAUGCGUAGAGAUCUGGAGAAAUACCGGUGGCGAAGGCGGCCCCCUGGACAAAGACUGACGCUCAGGUGCGAAAGCGUGGGGAGCAAACA
Molecule: ribosomal RNA, 427 nt
Filed under: uncultured bacterium
Lineage: Bacteria
Description: partial 16S ribosomal RNA
Rfam family: Bacterial small subunit ribosomal RNA
Source: RNAcentral